AAAUUAUAAACGACAGAAGAUCCCACUCUCUUCUCCUACCUUCAUCUCCUCUCCUUCAACCGUCACAUAUGCAAAAUUGAAAAACAAUAAACCCAAAUUGGAUCGAUUCAUCAAUUUAAUUAAAGCCCCGAUUAUCUCCAACCUUAAAUCCAAUCUCAAAUUAUGAGUUUAAUUUCAAACCCAACAAAAAAAAGGUAAUCUCGAUCCCGUCGCUUCAUCUCAGUCAUUUUCUCUCCUAUGACCACCGGUUCACAUCAUCAACUAUGAAAUUAACUUGGAAUCAUCCCCAUUGAUGUACAGCCUAAUUUCGAUGGUGUUGCUACUUCGAUGUUUGAUUUACCCAGUUCUGUUUCUGGGUUUGAGGUUUCAAAUAGUGAACAAAUCCCAGAAAAUUGAGGUUCACUCAAGGAAUUCAUCAAAUCCCAACAAUCUCAGCCUCACCCAAGAAUUAAGAGAAUCUUUUAUGGUGGAAAGGCUAGUGGUUGAUGAUGAUGAUCUUGAUCAUCUUUCAUGGCGCUUGGUAGUAUGUUUUAUUAGAUAUUUGGAAAGAGAUGGAGAAGAGAACAGGAAAUGAUAGAAUUUAAAUGCUUUGAAAUUUAGUGAACUUUGUAAUAUUGAGUAAUGCCAUAAUGGGUUCCUCUUUUUCUGUUCAUUGCUUUAAUAUUUGUUCAAAUGUCAUUCUUAGGGGAAAAAAUUGGAGUUUUAAUUGCAGUUAUAAAUUUUUUGGUUGUUUUAGAUUUGUACACCAUUCCCUUAAGAUAUUUAGUUGAAAAUAACUGCUUCCAGAAAUCAAAUCCUCUAAAUCGAGUUCCAGAGUCACUCACUGUCUCUCUCCACCACUUAACGCAGUUAUUAGUGUUUCGCCACAGAUGAGUGUGGCAGCGGUGGGGAUGACAAAUGUGGUGGCGGUCGCUGUGGUGAAAGGAGUCAUGGUCUCAUGGAGGCAAGGGCGCAAAUAUUCAAUUUGGGCAUAUACUAAACCCUACAGCCCAAUGGCAGAAACUCAUUGGUGACAGAGUUUCGGAGUGGUACCCUCACGACAUUAAACAUGACUAUCCUCAAAUCAUGGCUAGCCAAGGAUAAGAGAUGUAAUGGCUUGGGAACAUAUUUGGGUGCAUUGGUGGGCUUGUGGUGCCUUUGUGUUACAAUCACCGACAACGAGAGUGAGGGACGCAACAGAAAUCCUACCUAGCGACAGUUGCAGGAAUGUCCACUAACGAGACAUCUUUGGAAUCCGGUUGGUAGUGUUUUAAGUGAUACGCAAUGAUGGAAGAGAAUAUGUUUUGGAGUCUUGAAGCAAACGGGCAACGUGUUUUGGAGUCUCUGCGUACCAUUUUUGCUUUAACAUUGCUUCGGAUAUGGCAAAAUCGAUAGACAUACCUAUAAAUAGACUGGAAUUAUGUGUUGCCAUAUGGUGAAAUUGAGAAAAUAUGAAAGGGUGAAACAACUAGGAGAUACACUAUUGAUUAUUUGGUGAAUGUAUACUUGAAUAGAAUUCAAAUUUCAUAACAAUAAUUAUCCUUAUUUGUCUUCAAUUUAGUGAAUUUGACGUUUUUUGGUUUACAUAGAAUACAA
Molecule: long non-coding RNA, 1575 nt
Organism: Spinacia oleracea (spinach)
Lineage: Eukaryota; Viridiplantae; Streptophyta; Magnoliopsida; Caryophyllales; Amaranthaceae
Exons: 5
Source: RefSeq, a predicted model, not a curated record